RNAcentral lists this ribosomal RNA (455 nucleotides) under uncultured Enterobacteriaceae bacterium. RNAcentral describes it as "bacterial SSU rRNA". It matches the Rfam family "Bacterial small subunit ribosomal RNA", at positions 927 to 1382 of the family's 1533-position model. Lineage: Bacteria; Pseudomonadati; Pseudomonadota; Gammaproteobacteria; Enterobacterales; Enterobacteriaceae. The record is from RNAcentral.
AAGCGGUGGAGCAUGUGGUUUAAUUCGAUGCAACGCGAAGAACCUUUACCUGGUCUUGACAUCCACGGAAGUUUUCAGAGAUGAGAAUGUGCCUUCGGGAACCGUGAGACAGGUGCUGCAUGGCUGUCGUCAGCUCGUGUUGUGAAAUGUUGGGUUAAGUCCCGCAACGAGCGCAACCCUUAUCCUUUGUUGCCAGCGGUCCGGCCGGGAACUCAAAGGAGACUGCCAGUGAUAAACUGGAGGAAGGUGGGAUGACGUCAAGUCAUCAUGGCCCUUACGACCAGGGCUACACACGUGCUACAAUGGCGCAUACAAAGAGAAGCGACCUCGCGAGAGCAAGCGGACCUCAUAAAGUGCGUCGUAGUCCGGAUUGGAGUCUGCAACUCGACUCCAUGAAGUCGGAAUCGCUAGUAAUCGUGGAUCAGAAUGCCACGGUGAAUACGUUCCCGAGCCUU